This 253-nucleotide ribosomal RNA is filed under the name uncultured bacterium. RNAcentral's name for it is "partial 16S ribosomal RNA". It matches the Rfam family "Bacterial small subunit ribosomal RNA", at positions 524 to 776 of the family's 1533-position model. The record is from RNAcentral.
UACGGAGGGUGCAAGCGUUAUCCGGAUUCACUGGGUUUAAAGGGUGCGUAGGCGGAUAGGUAAGUCCGUGGUGAAAUCCUGCAGCUUAACUGCAGAACUGCCGUGGAUACUAUCUAUCUUGAAUGUCGUGGAGGUUAGCGGAAUAUGUCAUGUAGCGGUGAAAUGCUUAGAUAUGACAUAGAACACCCAUUGCGAAGGCAGCUAACUACGCGAUAAUUGACGCUGAUGCACGAAACCGUGGGGAUCAAACAGG